Molecule: long non-coding RNA, 456 nt
Filed under: Mytilus galloprovincialis (Mediterranean mussel)
Lineage: Eukaryota; Metazoa; Mollusca; Bivalvia; Mytilida; Mytilidae
Source: RNAcentral
GUUUUCCUAUAUACUUUUAUAAAAUUCCUGAGACAAGUGCCUGUGAUUGCAUAUGGCUAACUCAGCAGAUAAAUAGUAGUUUUAUGACUUCAGGUUAUCAGAACAACCAUUGCAAAACAAUUGGUACGUGUUGCUGAUGUGCGCACUUAAUAACUUAUCACCCAAGGCGUUGAGUAUCGGCUAUAGUCGAUAGCUGGUUAUAUAAACCACACAAUAACUCGUGUACAACUAUUCAAAAGAGAAAAACAACGGCAUAAUUUAUAAACAAUAUACAAAAACUAAUAUUAACACAGCAAAAAUCAAAAGACAUUGCCUGAACACCAUUCCCGUUAAACCAUCGCACUUUGGCGUGUAAACCAACGUCACAAGUUAACGUUUCAUAUACCAUCGCACUUUAGCGUGUCAUACCAUCGCACUUUAGCGUGUCAUCUGAUUGAAUAUAAAAAACAAACAACC